UCAUUACAUUCAUAACAUCACACUGUGACAGACAUCUUCUCUGUGUUGCACAUCAUGCCUAACAUGCCGUUAUGCGGUUGGGACACUGGCCACACAGUUGUACAGACCAAAGUCCUGCAUAAACAAAUGAUUCCUACCCUGAUCUAUCCAAUCAUACACAUGACAACACCUUCACCUUCUCACACAAAGAAAAAAAAGCAGCCUGGUGAGAGCUCAGGGUAGGAAGGAAGGAUGGAG
Long non-coding RNA from Gavialis gangeticus (Gharial), 237 nucleotides. RefSeq lists it as uncharacterized. The record is from RefSeq and is a predicted model, not a curated record. The transcript has 3 exons. NCBI's taxonomy places the organism in Eukaryota, Metazoa, Chordata, Crocodylia, Gavialidae.